AUUCAUUUUUCAGUACUUCCAUGGCUACUGUCUUGUUAGAAAAAUUAUACCCUUUUCUUGCUUUGCAUUUGCUCUCCAAGUUUGGGGAUUUUGAUCUGAGAAUUGAAAAAAAAACAUAAAAGUGAAUUAUGUGCUAUUUUCCUAUAACUUGAUGAGAAAAUGAUAAACAGUGAUUCAUAAGUUUAAGAAAUGGAACUGUUUCAUGUGACUUGAGUUUAUUUGUAGAUAUUUGAAGUGAUUUCUGUAGUAUCAGGUAAAUUCAGACAUGUCAGACAUGUGGACAAGUCAAUAUAACCAGAGACAGAGGUCUAGGCAUCUGUGGGGUUCAAUAAGAAAACUCUUAAACAUUUUUUAAACUUCUUAUUUUACUCAUAACUUUAAAAGUUUAUUGGUAUAAACAGAAUUUUUAAAGGGCUAACCUAUUGUGUAAAUGGUAAUUUUUGACACAAAGUGUUUAGAAUACUUAAAGGCAUUUAAAAAAAGUGUUUGGCAUAUAUUAACUCAGUUAUUUCUUAUGACACUCAGUAAAGUAGGUACCUGCUGUAGUUCAUUUGGGCUGCUAUAACAAAAAUAUCAUAGACUGGGCAGCUGAAAGAACAAAUAUUUUCUCACUGUUCUGGAGGCUGAGAAGUUCAAGAUUAAGGCACCAGUAGAUUCAGUGUCUGGUGAGGGCCUGUUCCCCAGUUCAUAGAUGGCACCUUCUCACUGUGUCCUCACAUGUUGGAAAGGGCAAGGGAGCUCUCUGGGGUCAGUUUUAUGGGGUCUGUUUUUAAAGAGCAUUCAUCUCAUUCCUGACGACUCUACUCUUACAGCCUAAUCGCCUCCCAAAGGCCCCACCUCAUAAUACUAUCUGAUUGGAGGUUAGGAUUUUAACAUAUUAAUUUUGAGGCAACAUAAACAUUCAGUUCAUCGUGGUACCUUUCCCAAGGCCACACAACUAGAAAAUGGCAGGGCUGAGAUUUGAACCCUGGCAUUUGGCUCCAGAGUUUUUCCUCUUAAUGACUAUUUUCUUGGUGUGCCUACUUUAAGCAUUCACAGUGUUUCUUAGUCACUUACUCAUUAAUCUUUCAUUUCUUGAGACCUGCUAUUAAUUAGAUGUUGUUAACGGAUAUGUUUUCUGUCCUCAGAAACAUCAGCCUGGAAGUGGGAGACAGAUAGAUCCAUAAACAAUCCCAGAGUGGUACAGAAGGAGCGUUAUAGCAAGAACCGAGGGAGGUCGGCCGGAGAGGGGAGACAUCCAUUCUGCCGGGGAAAGGGGGAAUGUGAAUCUUAGAAAAGGUCUCAGAACCGACCAUCCUUGCUAACAUGGUGAAACCCCAUCUCUACUAAAAUUAGCUGGGCGUGGUGGCGGGUGCCUGUAGUCCCAGCUACUCCGGAGGCUGAGGCGGGAGAAUGGCGUGAACCCGCGAGGCGGAGCUUGCAGUAAGCCGAGAUCGCGCCACUGCACUCCAGCCUGGGCAACAGAGCAAGACUCUUGUCUCAAAAAAAAAAAAAAGAAAAAGAAAAAGAAAAGGUCUCAGAACCUUAGCAUUUAAAUGAUGGGUGGAGGAUAAGGGCCGAGCAAAAAAAGACUAUAAGAAAAGUUGGUCAGCAGGUAUUGAAAGCAGAAAGUUCAAGAACGAACUACAGAUCUAUUUAAGAGCAAAAGGAAAAAUGAGUCUAUGUGCCAGCUUGAGAGAGAUAAAACAGUUAUGGUUGGAAAGUGAGGUAAUGGAGUUUAAAAAUACCGAGGGGGAGGGUUCUGAGGGGCUUCACUGUGUGGAAAAUCAUAACAACAGUUAACAUCAAAUCCAGCUGAGGGAAUUGCUUCAGGAAGCUGGCACUGGGUCAUGACUUUUCUAGGUCUGAUUGGUAGCCUUUGUAAUAAGCUUUUUUAUUGGUCCCAUUUGUCUUUUGCCAUAAAAGUACUUGAUGCUAAGCAACGGUGUAUACAAAUCAAGCCUUUCUUCUUUAUAGCAUAUAUUUUACCCCUCCGGGGACGAGAGCUAUGAAGUAGACAGGGUGACCAUCGUCUAGAUUCAAAAGACAUUUUGAGUGAUGUAUUGUAGAUGACUUUCUUAACUAGCAUGUGAAAUAUAUAGUAAAUCAGCAUGACCUUACACUGGGAUAAUGGAGCUGAAUUUAUACCAAGGAUCCGUCUGCCUGUGAUAAAAUUGCUUGUUAAUUCUGGGUAGAUGACAUUUUUUCUGACGGGUUGUUGACCAUUAUAAUUCCCAUCUUUAGAAGUGGUUUCCAAAGUGGAAAUCUCACUCUAUGUGUCCCCCCUGUACCCCUUCCUUCCAUAACACACCCCCAGAUUCUGUUUCUAGGAGACUCUUACAAUAGAUGAAUGGCUAUUUCCUAUAAACUUCUCAGUGUUGGCUGUUCACUUGGUUAUUUAAGUCUGAAUUCAAAGCUCAGAGUUUGGAAUAUAACCCAUUCUUUAAGGGUGGAGCUUAUUUUAAAUGCUUCCCUUAUAUCCCUGAUAUCUUUUGGGUGAUGUGUGUGUGUGUGUAUCUGUAUCUCUAUCUCUAUGUAGAUAUAUAACUUUCAUUAUUCAUAAUUUCUGACCUCAUCUUUGCCUUUGGUAAAUACUUGAAUGUCUAGUAUGUUCCAGGCCUGAGGAAUAUGGGAGUGAAUGUGGUUUGGUUCUUGAAUUCACUGAGCUCUGAGUCUAAUCAGGGAGAUAGAAGUGUACAGCAUGUCUGAUGCACUUUGAUAUAUGCAAUCUUGGAUGUUGAGUGGAAGCUACUCAAAAGACGAGGUUUCACUAUGUUGCCCAGGCUGCUCUCAAACUCCUGGGCUCAAGCCAUCCGCCCACCUAGGCCUCCCAAAGUGCUGAGAUUACAGGGCUGACCUACCACACCUGGCCUUCUUGAACUACUAUUGAUUGACCUUUCUGGGCUGCAAAUGGG
This 2894-nucleotide long non-coding RNA is filed under the name Homo sapiens (human). RNAcentral describes it as "HSALNT0342701". The record is from RNAcentral. Lineage: Eukaryota; Metazoa; Chordata; Mammalia; Primates; Hominidae.